GACGUAGGGCGCGAGCGUUGUCCGGAUUUAUUGGGCGUAAAGAGCUCGUAGGCGGCUUGUUGCGUCGACUGUGAAAACCCGCGGCUUAACCGCGGGCUUGCAGUUGAUACGGGCAGGCUAGAGUUCGGUAGGGGAGACUGGAAUUCCUGGUGUAGCGGUGAAAUGCGCAGAUAUCAGGAGGAACACCGGUGGCGAAGGCGGGUCUCUGGGCCGAUACUGACGCUGAGGCGCGAAAGCUAGGGUAGCAAGCGGG
This 253-nucleotide ribosomal RNA is filed under the name uncultured bacterium. RNAcentral's name for it is "partial 16S ribosomal RNA". It matches the Rfam family "Bacterial small subunit ribosomal RNA", at positions 524 to 776 of the family's 1533-position model. The record is from RNAcentral.